This 746-nucleotide ribosomal RNA is filed under the name Weissella viridescens. Its description in RNAcentral is "bacterial SSU rRNA". It matches the Rfam family "Bacterial small subunit ribosomal RNA", at positions 53 to 754 of the family's 1533-position model. The record is from RNAcentral. Lineage: Bacteria; Bacillati; Bacillota; Bacilli; Lactobacillales; Lactobacillaceae.
ACAUGCAAGUCGAACGCUUUGUGGUCCAACUGAUUUGAAGAGCUUGCUCAGAUAUGACGAUGGACAUUGCAAAGAGUGGCGAACGGGUGAGUAACACGUGGGAAACCUACCUCUUAGCAGGGGAUAACACUUGGAAACAAGUGCUAAUACCGUAUAACACUAAUAACCGCAUGGUUAUUAGUUAAAAGAUGGUCUUGCUAUCACUAAGAGAUGGUCCCGCGGUGUAUUAGCUAGUUGGUAAGGUAAUGGCUUACCAAGGCAAUGAUACAUAGCCGAGUUGAGAGACUGAUCGGCCACAAUGGGACUGAGACACGGCCCAUACUCCUACGGGAGGCAGCAGUAGGGAAUCUUCCACAAUGGACGAAAGUCUGAUGGAGCAACGCCGCGUGUGUGAUGAAGGGUUUCGGCUCGUAAAACACUGUUGUAAGAGAAGAAUGACAUUGAGAGUAACUGUUCAGUGUGUGACGGUAUCUUACCAGAAAGGAACGGCUAAAUACGUGCCAGCAGCCGCGGUAAUACGUAUGUUCCAAGCGUUAUCCGGAUUUAUUGGGCGUAAAGCGAGCGCAGACGGUUAUUUAAGUCCGAAGUGAAAGCCCACAGCUUAACUGUGGAAGUGCUUUGGAAACUGGAUAACUUGAGUGCAGUAGAGGAGAGUGGAACUCCAUGUGUAGCGGUGAAAUGCGUAGAUAUAUGGAAGAACACCAGUGGCGAAGCGGCUCUCUGGACUGUAACUGACGUUGAGGCUC